RNAcentral lists this ribosomal RNA (425 nucleotides) under uncultured bacterium. RNAcentral describes it as "partial 16S ribosomal RNA". It matches the Rfam family "Bacterial small subunit ribosomal RNA", at positions 354 to 796 of the family's 1533-position model. The record is from RNAcentral.
GUGGGGAAUCUUGCGCAAUGGGCGAAAGCCUGACGCAGCCAUGCCGCGUGAAUGAUGAAGGUCUUAGGAUUGUAAAAUUCUUUCACCGGGGACGAUAAUGACGGUACCCGGAGAAGAAGCUCCGGCUAACUUCGUGCCAGCAGCCGCGGUAAUACGAAGGGGGCUAGCGUUGCUCGGAAUUACUGGGCGUAAAGGGCGCGUAGGCGGACAGCUUAGUCAGAGGUGAAAACCCAGGGCUCAACCUUGGAAUUGCCUUUGAUACUGGCUGUCUUGAGUUUGGGAGAGGUGAGUGGAACUCCGCGUGUAGAGGUGAAAUUCGUAGAUAUUCGGAAGAACACCAGUGGCGAAGGCGACUCACUGGCCCAAUACUGACGCUGAGGCGCGAAAGCGUGGGGAGCAAACAGGAUUAGAAACCCGUGUAGUCC